GCACAAUCUUGGCUCACUGCAACCUCUGCCUCCCGGGUUCAAGCGAUUCUCCUGCCUCGGCCUCCCGAGUAGCUGGGAUUGCAGGUCCGUAUUGGAAGCCUUGACUCUGGCCCAGACAUUUCUGCUGUACCUCAUGUAGGAAGGGAAGAAAUGUCGGAGGUGGCCUUCUCAGACCCUGUGAAGUGAAAGUGUCUAUCCAUCCAAUGAAAGCGUCUACUCAGACCAAGAGGUAUUUUAGUUUCCUGACUCGAAGCAGGUGAGCCCAGGACCUGCCACACUGUGCCAGCCUCGCCCAAGCCACCCCCCAGCCAGGACGCGGUCUUUCCUGACUCAGCAGGCUGAGGCACCUGAGGCUUUCAUUUUAAUUAUGAACCACUUCAAAGCCUUUCUGGAAGCAGUCUCUGCAAUAACCAACCUGGGUUCUCUCCUAAUGUGGGGAUUGUCCUGGAGCCCAGGCCUUCCAAGGCUCCUCCGCCCGCCAACAUCACCUACCUCAUCUUCCUCUUCAGCACAUCCCCAACAUUGUCUAAGCGGUAACUCACCUGAGCAAAGCACUUGACACGGAUUCAUUCAUUUACUCCUCACAACAACCUGAUGAGCUCCCGGCGAGCGGCCCGAAGGAGAGCAGAGCACAGGCUCCACAGCCUCAGAGAACAGGCUCGAUUCUGGUCUCCCACUGCCAACUGUCAUCUGCGAUCAGCCUCAGAAGUCCACCUACCUUCACUGGGAUCUCAGAAGAAGCAGAAGGAAAUAAGAAGAUCCUGGCCGGGUGCUGUGGUUCCCACCUGUGGUCUCAGCACUGUGGGAGUGCUAUAGUCCUAGCUACUUGGAGGCUGAGGCAGGAGGAUCACUUGAGGCCAGGAGUUCAAGACCAGCCUGGGCAACAUAGUGAGACCCCAUCUUUAUUUAUAAAAAAAACAAAAACCCAAGAAGAUCCAAAGGCAUAAAAAUGGUCCAUUGCACCCAGGACCUCUCCCUGACCGCAGAUCCUUGGCACAAGCUGGCAGCCCUGGUCUUGGUUUUUCCUCUCCCAGCUCCUUGUCCCUGUCUCAGGCCCCUCCUUCUUAAAUGAGACCUUUAUUGCUUUUUUCCUCAUAGUCUCUGCCACUCCUCCCUCUGUCCCUGUCCUCAGGAGCUGUAAAACCAUGCCCCAAAGAGUUAAGGAAGCCAAUGACAGAAAUUCUUUUUUUUUUUUUUUUUUUGAGACGGAGUCUCUCUCUGUCGCCCAGGCUGGAGUGCAGUGGUGCAAUCUUGGCUCACCGCAACCUCCUCCUCCUGGGUUCAAGCAGUUCUCCUGUCUCAGCCUCCCAAGUAGCUAGGACUACAGGUGUGUGCCACCACGCCCGGCUAAUUUUUUUUGUAUUUUUAGUAGACACAGGGUUUUCCUUUGUUGGUCAGGCUGGUCUCGAACUCCUGACCUCAGGUGAUCCACCCGCCUCGGCCUCCCAAAGUGCUGGGAUUAUAGGCAUGAGCCACCGCGCCUGGCUAACAGAAAUUCUUGAGUUUGCAGAAUGGAGGUUAAAAAAAGAAACAACUACCGGCCGGGCGUGGUGGCUCACGCCAUGCCUGUAAUCCUAGCACCUUAGGAGGCUGAGGUGGGUGGAUCACCUGAGGUCAGGAGUUCAAGACCAGCCUGGCCAACAUGGUGAAACCCCGUCUCUACUAAAAAUACAAAAAUUAGUCAGGCAUGGUGGCACACGCCUGUAAUCCCAGCUACUCAGGAGGCUGAGGCAGGAGAAUCACUUGAACCCGGCAGAGAUUGCAGUGAGCUGAGAUCACGCCAUUGCACUCCAGCCUGGGCAACAAGAGAGAAACUCCAUCUCAAAAAAAAAAAAAAAAAAGGAAAAGAAACAACUGAAACUCCCUCUGCUUAUGAGAUCAAAAGAACUGGCUAACACUGGUUGGAACCAACAUGGACAACUGGAGUCUGCGCAGGAUGAACUUGCUGAUGGCACCGACUGAAUUUCCACUGCAUGUUUCAUACUAACUCCCCUUGAAUUUGCACAUGCGACCCAUGAGAUCCCAGGAAGAGAUAACUGCGCAUGCCCAGGGACUUUCCAGAUCUCCCCUUUCCUUUCACCAAUGAUCUGCUCAUCUCAGAAUCCACCCCCUGAACCUUUUCUAAUAAAAAUACUGCUUUGAAGCCAAGACGAGGAGACAGAUUUGAGCUUCACACUCAUGUCUGCUUGUGAGUCAACUUGCAAUAAAAGCCUUUCUUUUCUCAAAACCUGGCACAUUGAGCAGACAGCCCCCUUUGGCUCAUAACAAUUGUAUAUGAGAAUGAUGCAGCUGCCCCGGGGAAGAGAGAAGAAACUGCUAAUUUCCCACCAGUAUCCAUUCCUUCCUUGUUUUGUUAGUAUGCCUGAGUUUUGGUUGGG
Molecule: long non-coding RNA, 2378 nt
Filed under: Homo sapiens (human)
Lineage: Eukaryota; Metazoa; Chordata; Mammalia; Primates; Hominidae
Description: HSALNT0359637
Source: RNAcentral